This 497-nucleotide ribosomal RNA is filed under the name uncultured bacterium. RNAcentral describes it as "partial 16S ribosomal RNA". It matches the Rfam family "Bacterial small subunit ribosomal RNA", at positions 28 to 507 of the family's 1533-position model. The record is from RNAcentral.
GAUGAACGCUGGCGGCGUGCCUAAUACAUGCAAGUCGAGCGAACGGACGAGAAGCUUGCUUUUCUGAUGUUAGCGGCGGACGGGUGAGUAACACGUGGAUAACCUACCUAUAAGACUGGGAUAACUUCGGGAAACCGGAGCUAAUACCGGAUAAUAUUUUGAACCGCAUGGUUCAAAAGUGAAAGACGGUCUUGCUGUCACUUAUAGAUGGAUCCGCGCUGCAUUAGCUAGUUGGUAAGGUAACGGCUUACCAAGGCAACGAUGCAUAGCCGACCUGAGAGGGUGAUCGGCCACACUGGAACUGAGACACGGUCCAGACUCCUACGGGAGGCAGCAGUAGGGAAUCUUCCGCAAAGGGCGAAAGCCUGACGGAGCAACGCCGCGUGAGUGAUGAGGGUCUUCGGAUCGUAAAACUCUGUUAUUAGGGAAGAACAUAUGUGUAAGUAACUGUGCACAUCUUGACGGUACCUAAUCAGAAAGCCACGGCUAACUACGUG